AUCAUUAACGUUAUACGGGCCUGGCACCCUCUAUGGGUAAAUGGCCUCAUUUAAGAAGGACUUAAAUCGUUAAUUUCUCAUACUAGAAUAUUGAUGUUCCAUACACUGCAUCUCACAUUUGCCAUAUAGACAAAGUGACUUAGUGCUGAACUGAUUUCUUUUCGCUCGCCGCUACUAAGA
This 180-nucleotide ribosomal RNA is filed under the name Drosophila putrida. RNAcentral's name for it is "partial 28S ribosomal RNA". Lineage: Eukaryota; Metazoa; Arthropoda; Insecta; Diptera; Drosophilidae. The record is from RNAcentral.